Molecule: unclassified non-coding RNA, 527 nt
Filed under: Hevea brasiliensis (rubber tree)
Lineage: Eukaryota; Viridiplantae; Streptophyta; Magnoliopsida; Malpighiales; Euphorbiaceae
Source: RNAcentral
UGCUUAUCAAUCUUCUGUGUUCGUCAUCGAAGAUCAGUUGAUUUAAAUGAGUCUGCAAAGCCAGAGGGCUUUGCAGGAAUACUUGAUUGCGUCUGAGAGUAGGAUAUAUCGUUAAACAAUGAGGAAGAGCUUUCAUCAGCUUGCCAUCUUUGCAGAGCUUGUGGAAGGCUCAUAUGGAGGUCAAUGCUUCACGGCUAGCAGGUCUCCAUUGCUCUACAAGAGGCCCCAACACAUUAACUGCAUGCCCCAUGUCAGGUCUUUGGUAUGGCUCACGAGAAGUGCAAUGUCCUGCUAGCUCAGCCACUCUGUAAAUGCUGGCUAAUGUCUCCUCAUCCAAUUCGAUAGUCUGAUCAAUCACCUUUGGAAUGCUCUCUUUAUUGAUUAGGACCCUGCGAAACCAUGUAACCAGAUGGGCCUUCUCAUCUGGCAAGGUGUCAUCCAGAGCUUUUCUGCCAGUUAUGAUCUCCAUCAAAACAACUCCAAAGGCAUAAACAUCCACCUUUGUUGUCACCCUUCCAGUAGCAGCA